This 383-nucleotide long non-coding RNA is filed under the name Setaria viridis. RNAcentral's name for it is "long non-coding RNA (SVIR_LNC009092)". Lineage: Eukaryota; Viridiplantae; Streptophyta; Magnoliopsida; Poales; Poaceae. The record is from RNAcentral.
ACCCAAACCCUAGCUCAAACUCUCAAAGAUUUAGCUCAAAGGGGAGAGGGGAGGGAGUAUUCAAUGCUCAAAGAGGUGUUCUUGCUUGGGUAGGUCAGCAGCAAUGAAUAGGGGGCUGAGGGGGUAUUUAUACCCAAGCCUCCAAAACUAGCCAUUACAGUACAUUUAUGUACCUGUCGGAACUUCCAACACAGGAUCGGAACUUCCGAUGGAAUUAAGUCAAAUGGCAGAGGACCACUAUCGGGAGUUUCAACAAACAUCCGAUGGUUAAUUACUAGAACUUCUGAUGGAGUGUUGGAACUUCUGAUACUUUCAAAAUAAAUCCGCAAAGGACCCCAGUCAGGAGUUUCUAAAUACUUCCGACUGGUGUCGAAACUUCCGAC